Molecule: ribosomal RNA, 253 nt
Filed under: uncultured bacterium
Lineage: Bacteria
Description: partial 16S ribosomal RNA
Rfam family: Bacterial small subunit ribosomal RNA
Source: RNAcentral
UACGAAGGGGGCUAGCGUUGCUCGGAAUCAUUGGGCGUAAAGCGCGCGUAGGUGGCCUCAUAAGUCCGCUGUGAAAGUCAAAGGCUCAACCUUUGAAAGCCGGUGGAUACUGUGAGGCUAGAGUACGGAAGAGGCGAGUGGAAUUCCUGGUGUAGCGGUGGAAUGCGCAGAUAUCAGGAGGAACACCAAUAGCGAAGGCAGCUCGCUGGGACGUUACUGACACUGAGGCGCGAAAGCGUGGGGAGCGAACAGG